UUCCAGACUCCUACGGGAGGCAGCAGUGGGGAAUAUUGCACAAUGGGGGAAACCCUGAUGCAGCGACGCCGCGUGAGUGAAGAAGUAUUUCGGUAUGUAAAGCUCUAUCAGCAGGGAAGAUAAUGACGGUACCUGACUAAGAAGCCCCGGCUAACUACGUGCCAGCAGCCGCGGUAAUACGUAGGGGGCAAGCGUUAUCCGGAUUUACUGGGUGUAAAGGGAGCGUAGACGGCAGCACAAGUCUGGAGUGAAAUGCCGGGGCUUAACCCCGGAACUGCUUUGGAAACUGUGCAGCUAGAGUGCAGGAGAGGUAAGUGGAAUUCCUAGUGUAGCGGUGAAAUGCAUAGAUAUCGCGCAGAACUCCGAUUGCGAAGGCAGCAUGCCGGCUCCACACUGACGCUGAGGCACGAAAGCGUGGGUAUCGAGCAGGAUUAGAUACCCGAGUAG
This 447-nucleotide ribosomal RNA is filed under the name uncultured bacterium. RNAcentral describes it as "bacterial SSU rRNA". It matches the Rfam family "Bacterial small subunit ribosomal RNA", at positions 329 to 793 of the family's 1533-position model. The record is from RNAcentral.